AUGGAGGGGUUUCUGGGCUUGUUGCUCUUUGUGAGGCUCAGCUGGGUGUUUUCUCUCUCUAGCUCAUCACCUGGAGAAGAGGUGUUGGGGCUGGGGACUUGGUCCCCACGCACGGAUCUGGGCACUUUGCUGUGGAUGAGGGCAGUCAAUGCCUCUGCCUGCAGCCUCCAGUCCAGGUACAGUGAAGGAGUUUUGCUCUGUGUCCUGCCAAGCUCCCCAGGAGAUCAGCUGCCCCUGCUGGCUAACAGUAGAGAGAGGUCCUGCUUUGUCUCCUGUUCUUGGUCUGGCGUCGACCUGCGUGUGGCUGUGCAGCUCGGAGACCGCAGUCCUGUACCAGGUACCGUGCUGCCUGUAAAGCCACAUCCUCUCAGGGGGCUGGCAGGCUGCGGCCAGCGCUGUUGCAAUCUGCCUGUUGUCCUCACCUGGAGGGGCUUGGGGGUCCGUGCUCGCCACUGGCUUGAUUUUUAUCACUCUGGCCACAGAUGCGGGGCUAGGAGCCUGCCUGUGCCUCAGGGUAAAGUGCUGCGCGGGUGCCUUCGAGCCACAGUGAUGGGGUAG
This 558-nucleotide long non-coding RNA is filed under the name Anser cygnoides (Swan goose). RNAcentral's name for it is "lncRNA (ENSACDG00005010984.1)". Lineage: Eukaryota; Metazoa; Chordata; Aves; Anseriformes; Anatidae. The record is from RNAcentral.